RNAcentral lists this small nuclear RNA (291 nucleotides) under Petromyzon marinus (sea lamprey). RNAcentral's name for it is "7SK RNA (ENSPMAG00000010823.1)". It matches the Rfam family "7SK RNA". Rfam says of the family: 7SK was discovered as an abundant small nuclear RNA in the mid-70s but a possible function has only recently been suggested. Two independent studies have found that 7SK RNA binds the CDK9/cyclin T complex (known as elongation factor P-TEFb). P-TEFb activates transcription by phosphorylating the C-terminal domain of RNA polymerase II. The record is from RNAcentral. Lineage: Eukaryota; Metazoa; Chordata; Hyperoartia; Petromyzontiformes; Petromyzontidae.
GGAUGCGCCAGGUGAUUUGGUAGUGACACCUCGCCAUCCAUUGAUCGCCAGGGCACGUUUGGGUGAUCUGGCUGCAUAGAUCGGUGUCCCCUCGUGCGCGCUUACCCGUGUUCAUUCCUCCCAAUGCUCUGCGCUAUGCGGCAGCGGACUCUGACCCCCAAGGACCGGCAACAGCUUCUUCGUCAAGGUCGCGGGUUUAGGUGGAGCGAUGGCUCCCUGCUAGACCAAAAAUGUAGGUGGCUGGUGGCUCAAAGGUCACAGCUGGCACCGCUGAGACCCUGGGUUUGAAUC